Anopheles coluzzii is the source of this 11781-nucleotide long non-coding RNA. RefSeq lists it as uncharacterized. The record is from RefSeq and is a predicted model, not a curated record. The transcript is spliced from 2 exons. Lineage: Eukaryota; Metazoa; Arthropoda; Insecta; Diptera; Culicidae.
GUAUGGGUAUACAUUUAUAUACAAAUAUUAGUUCCUUUGCCAAACAAAAGGUCUCUAGAAAGACCCAUUUCAUUGAAAAGGUACACACACACACACACACGUACACGUUUUAAUUAUGCCAAAUUGUUGCCCAAAAUUCGAUCGUCGAUGACUUCCUGCUUCAAUCAAACCACCCAGUUAACCCCCGUGGCGUUUCGUUUCCCAGACCCCCAACUCUGGCCACUGUGUGACGUUGUAAAUCACAGUGGACAAAGACGCAAUACAUAAUGUCCAUCGCUCAAAAAAAAAGGAUGUGCGACGUGCGCAGCAAUUAAAUAUCGACUUCAGCAAUCUCGCACGGAGACGAAUAAUAAGGUACUCGGUCCUGUGAGACGUACGAGGAAAUCAAUUUAAUAUAUUUAGAAAAAAAAACACAAAAAGCACACACAUAGAGCUGCUACCUUGUCGAGACAUGUUUCGAAACGUUUGCUCAGUGUGUGUGUGUGUGUGCGUUUGUUGGUGGUAGAGUUGCUCUGGUAUUUCGCUUUGUGGUGUGCGUCUGUACGGCCGUUGAAGGCCAGCUGAUGAUAAACCAACACCAAUCCCAGCUCCGUUUCCACAUGGCCUUGCUGCGCUUCGUUUGUGUUGCAAUCAACCCGUUUUUUUUUUAAAUGUGUCACACCGAAAAUGUGUUGAGCGAAAAAAUGAACCUAGCACGGGGGAAUGAGCAAGUUGAGCUCUUUUAAAAAUGUAUGAUUAAAUGUACAAUUUAAGCAGUUUUUAUUGAUUGCACUGCAAAUGUAAUGCCCGUUUGCUCCUCACACAGUAUCCGUGUAAAAACGUGCGAAGCGAAGCGUUUGCUCUGUAUGGGAAAAUAGCCAUCCAUCCAUCCAUUCUCACACGCUCGCUGUAGUGGUGUAAGCGCUGUGAGCAAAAUCAAAGGUCUCUUUUUUUUUUGUACCAUUACCUCCAACCUCGAGCAACCGUUUUUUUUUCUGUUGCAUUACCAUCUACUAUUCCCGUUUCCCCAAUCACCACCAUACAUUUACAUUCAUUUGACCGUUGCAGUGCAUCCGCAUGCACCCUACCAACGCAUACACACGCGCUCGCUCGCUCGUACGCACACACAUACCCGUAGCGUGUAUCGUCGUCGCUGGCGCAAGGGGUUAGUUCGUCGAAAGCGACGACCGUUACGUUCAGAAAGGUGCGAGCCGUCGGCCGAGACUGGUGCUGUUUUUUUUUGUGCCUUGUGCUUCCUCUGUCUGCUGAGCGCCGUGGCGUACGUGACGUGUCGUUGUAUUUGAAAGCGAGACAGCAAGCUAGUCGAGCAAUAGUGCUUGUGUGUGCGUUUGUGUGAAUGCAGAAUGAACGAGAUUUUGUUUCCUUUUUCAUUGUGAAAGUAGCAGCUUCACGAUGCACGGAAAACCAGCACCGGUCGAGACAGCUACGCAUCUUUCUCCUAUCCUAACUCUGCUUUUCCUUGCCAGAAUUUUUUAUGGGACCUGACUUGCAUUACUAUAGAGUGUGGCCAAUUGAUGUACAUCCUUCACUAAAGGGCGAAAGAAGCCUACGGUACUGGAGAUCACUUUUCUAUUUGACGGUUCUGGCGGCGGCGUUUUGCAUUCCUGCUUCGAGCAAAAGCAAAGGAGGCGAACGAAAAAAAAAAACAGAGAGUGAGAGAGACAUACGAGGAAAGCGAAUGGCACUGAUGGAAAAUCUUUCAAGGAAGGCCACAUCUUCUACCCAAGCUUCCAGGCGGGUAUAAAAUGGGUGUACUUUUGUUUUUUUUUUCUCUCUCUAUCAUAUGGAAAGUAUUUUCGUGGCAAAAUCGGGCAAAUUUUAGCUUUCUUUGACAGCCGUACCUCCUCUCGACUGCCCCCAUCCGUCUUUCGACCAUUAUGAGAACCGCCGGCACUACCACUGUAUACACUUAAGGGCCAGCAGCUGCGCUUUCACGGCAACGGGCAACCCCUUUUGUGCACCCAGAUCUGACGAAUAUUUAGCCCACGCGCUGCCCACGUGUGACAUUCGUGGCUUUGGGACCAAUUUCCACCUUUCUACACUAAGUAUCAAAUGUAAAUGGGUUUGAGUGUUGGGCCAAUCCUCGGUGAGAAGUGAGUUACUUGUUUUGUGACAGGAAAAAAAAGAUGUCGUAUUACACCUCACCUCGGUGGGGAGGAAAAACAGUGGGGAACAGGCCCGUCAUACCGUGUCCCAAUGAUGGAGAAGCUUCCGGCUAGCCGGCGUGCCAGAGCAGUCUUCCGAAGAAGAAAGGUAUCUUUUGUAAUCGUACUUAAUUUCAACGACAUUUUUUUGUUUUUCCUCUUAGCAAAACCUGCCAUGUGGUGCAGCAAUAGAGCGCAUACAAAAAUACGUAACACUUUUUCCUUCACUUACGUUUCUCACAUCUCACCGAGUGAUGCCUCAUGGCGUUUUAGUAAACGGCCAGAAGAGUAGAUUUGCGAAACCAUUUCGAGUCGUGCUGACUCGCUUAAUGCACACCGAGCUGUUUAGCUUCGCCCCCUUUUUUUAGGAUGCAGCGUCGUAUUGAGAUGGGAUACAAUCGUAGAAUUAUAAGGACGCACAAUCACAUGUGUAAGAGACAUGUAAGAGAGAGCGAGAGAGAGAGAGAGCUCGGCGAAACCUCAAGGGACGUCCGUUCGGCUAAAAAGCGGUGGCGACCCGCUGUGAAGACGACUUGAUCCCGACCAAAGACAGCGAGCAGGUGCAACUGGUAGUGUGGUGUAGAUUUGCUUAUCACCUCCCUAUUCUCAGGUUGCGCUCCUCCAUUGCCUGGACUACCACUGCCUUCACACUUCAGAAUACGCGCAGUUGCGAAGGAUGGGGAACGAAUUGGGCUCACACUGUACUGGAAUUGCUACGUCUGUAGGAAAAGGGAUUGCUCCAGCUCAUUCCAAUCGGUUCAUUAUGACAUCCAAUACCCGGGCCCCUCAUCAUAAAAUUGUAUCUCCUCAUCAUAGAAUUGUGCAACGCGCCGAAGACAUCUCCUGGCUCGCGCUUAGGCGUACCUGCGCACGGGAAUGAUAUGGAAGCUGUUUCCAGUUUUGCAAGUUACUAGCGACCGUUUUCAAAGAUGCCUAUCGUCUUCGUACCAUUGCGUCCAGACGAUUGGUCAGUUUCAUCCAGCUGCACUACUACCCCAACUGGGCCACUGGUUGGCAAUAAGUGGCUGUGGAUUAAAGUAUCUGAUGGCGGAGAAUGGAGUUGGUCUACAACCGCGCGAGUGUGUCUACUGCAUUCUUCUAAGGCGUGUGGUCGCUGCGUGAUGGCGGGUUUUGGAGACGUCAGCGAUGGUGCAACCUGCCCAUCGCUUCGUUGCAGCUUGCUGUCUGGCCAAUUUUUCUCUUCACUCAUUUUUUUUUGUCUCCUCGGAAGACGGGCAUCAGACAUGCAAUAGAAGCUACGACGUGUAUAGAAGAACGUCUUCACGCUGUUCCAGUUGGAAGAAGCUGGUGGAGACCUAACUCGACGAGCGCCCAGCUUUUGUGUCUACUUCAUCCCUCCUGGCAACGUUUAGAAUGUUGCUAUGUUUCACCGAAGGAGAUGUCUCGUCGAUGUGCCAUGGCAUGUGUGCCAUAGGAGUUUGCGCGGUCCAUCCAGAGACCUGUGGAUGCGCACUUGGGCGCUAGUUCCCCUCACGUUGGCUCUGACUGUAGCUUGGACCAGCGUUUCGCAAAAAGUUUCUCUCGAAAGCCCAGGCAAGCGUGAAGAGGAAGCAGACAGUCGCGAGAAGAUGGGCCCAUCAUCGGUUAGGGUUUUCGGUUCCGGAGCGGCGGGAUGGCGGGUUCCUGUGGUGGUGGUUGCGGCGGCGGCUUCCGGGUUCCGGAGGAGACGGUUUUGCUCGGCAAGCGCGAAGAGCCCCUGGACACGGACAGUGUGCCAGCAGGUGGCCAGCGAGAAGAGAGCAAAAUCCAACGACGGCUUUUAUUCUAGAAGAUGGCAGACUACGGCAGAAUCUCUUGAAAGGUGACGUCAUUUUUGCGUGACUGCCCUUUUGAUGCAAGUGCGCGGUCCAAUGUCACCGAAUGGUCGCCAAUGAUUUGAAUGGGAUAUUUCUGAGCACUAUCCUAUGGCUAUGGCGUAGAGCGUACGGAGCGCAAAGAAAUUGAACAUUAGAUCCAGCGUCGGAUGGAAGAGAUUUAACCAGUGACAUAUCAAGAUUUAAGGAACUAAUUGGAUAAAGCUUUAAUGUAAAGAUGGAUCAUCUACAAAGAAGUGCUUUCUGACACAUGCGAAUGUUUCCUGUUUCGCUUGUGUCAACACGACACCAGCGUUUGGUUGAUGUGUACCCCAGCACACUAGACGAACACAAUUGCAGAGAUACAAGCUAGCUUCAGCUACGAUACACAUUCUAGCAACCACAUUUCCAAGCGUUGCAAAAUGUUGCACCAUCUUCAAACGCUUCCCUGAUGAUGUUGAUGAUCCUAGUUUGUUGCGAUGUUACGACACCGAAGAUGUACUGCGAUGCACACAUUGCCCCUGAUAUUCGACUGGAAUGUAUUCUCUACCCCUGAUAUGACAUCACACAUAUAGACGACCAAGUUGGUUACCUGCACAAUCGUGUCUGCAGUACAUGCGAGUGCUCCAAACCUGUAGGAAGAAUUCUGCGAAUGCGGCCUACAGAUUGGGGCAGCUCUGAUGCCACACGACGUUACGUUUUCUAAACUCUCCGAGGCUUUCAUUUCUGCUCAUCGAAGUUCCAAACCUUAUCAGCAUAUGCUUCUCACAAGUUUCGUGCAAACAUACACCUUGAAGAUCGGAAGCUCUGGAAGAGCAAAUCAGUUACUAGCUGCUGGAAACACGCAAGAGUACUGGAGAGAGGCUAAUAAUACACUCAGGUGUACAGAAUGGGUUCCACAUUCCUCUGAGAUUCACGUACGUGAGGGAGAUCUUCUACAACAACUUCAGAACACGGUUCCACGCGCGCUUAGGUGUUUCUGCAUCUGCGUAAGUGGAUACUUGAUCAUACAUUUAUAGGACAGGCGAUAUCGUUCACCAAGAAGUUCGAAACAUUGUGCUGCCAAAUAUCAUCCAGCAAUCAAGAAUCAAUUGGAUACAAGAUUGACGUCGGCUUCUCAACCUGACUAGUGACCGUCCGCUGCUAUGCAGAUGGUGUAGUUUUGUUUUGUUGCAAGGCGCUUCAAGUUCAAUCAACCCGUGUGCUCAAAAGUAGUUGUCCUAGCUCGAUCGUUUCGUGCUAGACAACAGGACCGUGUGUGUGCGUAUGCGUGUGGGCUUUUUUCCUCCUUGGAAGAUCUCGCAAGUGAUCGGAUGUUCCCGCCCAAGGGCUCACAGAAUGGAGAUCGGAUCAUAACGAGUUCAAAGCUGCUGGUACGCUUGCCACACUUUGGUCGUCCUCGUUGGAAGGAGAAGUCACAUCAGCAUCUUUGAUGUCCAUGUGGUACCCUUCAACCCACCACGGCCGCACACAGAUGAUGCUUUGUUCCCGAGUUUGUACGGUCGAUUGCGCAGAGCCUUGCGAUGCACUUCGGUCUUGUUUCCAUGUGCAUCUGGAUGCUGUUGAUAUGGAGGCGGCAGAAAGGCAGUAUUUGUUCUCGAAAGCCCAGGCAAGCGUGAAGAGGAUGCAGAAAGUCGCGAGAAGAUGGGCUCAUCGGUUAGGGUUUUCGGUUCCAGAGCGACGGGAUGGCGGGUUCCUGUGGUGGUGACGGCGGCGGCGGCGGCGGCGGCGGAGGCGGAGGCGGAGGCUCCAGGGUUCCAGCGGCGACGGUUUUGCUCGGCAAGCGCGAAGAACCCCUGGACACGGACCGUGUGCCAGCUGGUGGCAAAGCGAGAAGAGAGCAAAAUCCAACGAUGGCUUUGAUUCCAGACGGCGCGGAGUACGUUUCGAACCGUUUUGACGAGAGUGUUCGAACGCGAAUGGUGACGUCAUUUUUGUGCGAAUGCGUUUUAAGACAUAAGCGCGCCACUAGUGUCACCGGAAUGGGUUGGAAAUGAUUUGAAUGCGGCAUUUCUGGGCAUUAUCUUUGAAAUGGUUGACAGUAUCAUUGCUACGAUCUAGAAAGUAUAGCGAAAGCGAGGAAGUUGAACAUUACUCCAAUUCAUUCUUGAAAGGCGUACCACGGCUUAUCACAACUUUGAACUGAUUGUUACGACCCAUAUCGAAUAUCUUGCGAACCUUGUACUGUUGUUUACGUUGCAAUAAUUUCAACCGAAGCACUUUAGAGAUGGAUAGAGAUGUUUCGAUUGUCGGCUUUUGUAUUAUCUUAUCGAUACAUGACUAUUCUUUCCUGACAUAAUCAAAAUCAAACAUGCGAGAGGAAGAUGCGUAUUAUUAUUUUAUGUAUAUCUACUCACACAAAACCAAACCAUAAGAUAGAGUUGCCAUCAUGUAGAUGUUCCCAAAGUCUCCGAAGGCUAUAAACAAAAACACGAUCCUAUACUGUAAUCUAGACAUGGACACGUGCAAGAUUGAUAGUGCAAUGCCUAAGCAUACGCAUCUCGUUGCUGCAAAUUCUUUGAAGAAUCGUGCACUAUAACAGAAAACAUUGAUUGCAAAGUGAUUACGAUGAUGAAGCAAUUAGUAACCUUUUCCGCGAUUAGGUGCCGCCUCAGGGUGACCUAGAAAAACCAGUCUACCUCUAGAAAUGCUUUCAAACUUGAAGAGGAAUUUAUUCCCAUGGCAAAACAAAAACAAAAAAAGACUACAUUGAAGGUUGCCGAGACGACUAGAAAAAUGCUUUGUUGUACUGUGUUAGCAGGCAUUGAGUAAAGCAGGACGGUUGGAGGUAUAGAUCGAAUGUUGAACUAUCUAUACGAACUCUACCAAAACCGCGAGGCAAGAUAUGUGAACACAAAAAUAAGCAAUUCUGAAGCUCUCGUACCAAACUGAAGCAAAAACGUGAAGUGAACACAGUGGAAUCAAAACACAAUCAAACAAACAAGGACAGGACCUGUGGGAAUGCGGGCGGGCAAACGAAAAAAAAAGCGGAUUGAGUUUUUAUUUUAUUUUAAGAAAACGUACUUACCAAAGAUUCAGUGAAAAUAAGGAUAAAAGAACGCCAUUACGAUUCAACUGGUGACAGAUGCAUUAUCUCUGACGUGUGCGAGAAUCAAACAUUCUGGGAGCUUAAGCUCAAAACGAUCGUUUUUUAUGUACGAAAACACCCCCUACGGACACAUUGUUUAUCGACGGCAAAGAAUAAAUUGCAAUCGCUUUGCAGGAUCUCCGCACCCCCCCUCUCCCGGGGUCGUGGAGAUUUUGGGCAAUGCUGAGCCUAGUUGAGUUGUUGUAAAAAAGAAGGACAGAAUCAAGAAAAGAGGAAAAGAUUAUUUAAAAAAGCAGCCGUUUUUGUGUGUUAAACAUUUUCUGCUUUAACUUGUUUGUGCAAACUGUUUGAUGGUGCCCCGUAUCCUCCCGUUCAUAUCCGUCACGGAAAACACCCCCGUGCCCCAACACACCCGGGCCAUGGGGGUGGUGCAAACCAGAACCAAUUACUCUACCGGGCGGUGGGAGGAUCUCAACCGAAGGGGCAGAACUGAAACAAACCAAUUACUAAAGAAAAAAAAAAAAGGACUCGAAUAAAACUACAAAUUCCAUUUUCAAACGAAACCGAUUCUUUUUUGUUGAAGAAAUUUUUUGCCCAACACAAUUGGACAGUAGUGUGUCGUGUAUUUGCCGUGUAUUGCGUUUGGUAAAAUCUUUUCGUUUGCUUUCGUUUUUUGUUUUGUUUUUCAUUUAUUCGCAAAAAAUUGUUCGUUUUUUUUAAACUGAUUUUUAACCCUAUACCAAAAACAAGUGCACGCGGCGCUCUAGCAUUGACAUUUCGAUGUGUACUAUUCACCAACCCACCAACACGCUGGUUGUAUUGGCGGCGCCUUUUCCAUCAUUUUUCUCUCUGGCUCGCGGGCACCGCCCAAGGUAUGGCCUUUCGAUCGCUCGAGACGGCUUGAUGCGUGUGUGUGUGUUGCAUGUGCUCGCUAAGGAGAGAGGUGAUAGGCAACGAUCGUGUAGUCGCCCCACUAACUCUUAAAGAAAGAAGAAAAGAGGAAAAGUUUGCUGUCCAAAACUGGCUAAAUCACGGUUCCGAAACGCAAUGUGUGAGUGCGUGUGCGAACAGACCCGGUCCCAAGCGGAACAGGAAGAGAGAGAGAGAGAGAAAGAGAGAGAGAGGAAACAGGCAAACACUAGUUUUGCACGAAAUGCUCGAAAAGUAAACCGCCCGCAGUUUUGACGCAAGGGUGUGUCCUGUGUGACUGCUGCACGAACGAAGCGCAGGUAACGUGUCCCAUUAGUGGGCGCACAAAACCCUCGAAAAAGACCGCACCGAAUGGUAAACUUACACUCUGUUACCAAUUUUGUUUCGAUUUUAGUAUCUGGCGCUUAAUUAUAAUGCGUAGUGCGUGCGCACGUUUGCCCCACGUUUGGUCAAUUAGUGUUGAUUAUUGUGAAGAUCACACGUUUGCGGACAGGAACAGCGAACAGCACAGAUGCUAUACACCGUCAGGGAGUUCGUUACAUGCGUGUGAAAAGUAGUCCGAGCGAAGCGCGAUUUCGAAUCCGCCAACAACUUAAAGACGUACGAAGAAAUGAAGGAGAAAACGACGGUGUAGAAGGAACAGAAACUAGACCAAGCGUGCGCACGAAUGCGUAAGCAGGAAGGAGUUGCGCGGAGUGAGACUGUAAGUGGAAGAUACAGGAUGUAAGAUGAAGGAUGAAGAUUACUCCACUAGAUGUGUCGAUGAUCGAUACAAUCGAGAAGGAAUCGAGCUGUUUAUAUGCAGCUAUUGCGCGUUAUAGUUCCGAGUGCUCCGUAGUCUGUUCUCUAGACGCGUCGGCUUCUACAAGGCCGGAUGGGAUAGAUUCCCUCUCGAACUGUGGCCGGAAAAGGACCUUUUUUUUAUCUUCUUUAUCCACCUGCGUGGAACUUUUACCAAGUGUAGGAGGGCCUUAUCUCUAGAAUGGCCCGGAUGUACUUUUGUGGUUCCAAAUAAUGAAUAAUGGUUUCCAAAAAAACAAAACCCCCCACAAAGGUCACAUGCUCCACCGCGCAUGAUAUAAGGGUCACGUGAACCACCAAAUGCGUCUCUUUCUCUCUUCAUAGUCACUCCCACACCAAUUGUCAAAUAUCCUGUGCUGUCGUCUCCCCCCUCCCUCCCCCCUCUAACGAAGCGGGCCCUAGGAAAGUGUGUGCAUGUGUAUAAUAAGUGUUGUACUCCUUGAAACGCUCAAUCGCGUUCGCGCGGGCAUACAUUCACUUUCUUUUCGAUUUUCCUGCCCCGUAUCGUCAGAACCUUCGCGAUCCGUGUGGCAAUGAGUGUGUGUGUGCUGCCGUGUGUGUCGAGGCGUUGGAGAGACCAUCACCACCAUCCUUGCGCGGGUAUGCCGUCACACGGCGGCCGCCAGUAACUUCAAACACAUCUUUUCUGUACUUUGCUCUUCCUUUUUUUUUUCUUUUUUCCCUCUCUUUCUCUCUCUCUCUCUCUCUCUCUUUCUCUUUUUCUCUCUAUCCAAACGUUGCAGCUUGUGUCUGGCCCGGAUGGUUCCGGCAGCAACAGCAACAUCAGCAGCACAACUGCCAGCUUCCCACGCCGCCACCCCAACAACCGAGUGUGCGCCAAGUUUGUGGAGCUUUGUGUGUGUGUGUGUGUGUGUGUGAGUGUGCAAGUAUGCGCGUGAUCCUUCAUGCGAAUAUCAAUAUCUACAUGUAUGUAAGAAAUUAGCAAAAACAUCAGCAACAACUACUCUUGCAAAUCAUCAUGCCGUCAUGGUUCAGUGACACACCCGCUCGGGGAGGGGCUGGAGAAGCUGGGGGCUUUCGGUUGGGAGUGGCCCCUCGGGGCGGAAGACGUCGCCGGGUAGUUCCGUCCUAUCCUUGUGUGGUGGUGGUGGUGGUGGUGUGUGACCGAGUGGUUGUGAGCGUUCCAAACGCUCCCGUCGCCUCGCCCGUGGUAGUGUCCAGACGUGUCCCGUGUCGUGUGUACGUGCCUUCUGCACCCCCCCGCCAUGCGUCCCAUAGCGCCGACUCGCACGCGUUACGCCGCGCCCUCGAAUCUCCGGCAACGAGAAGCGUCCUCCGCUGGCCCUGCCGUCCCUUUUCCGCGGUGGGUGCUGGUGUGCGGGCGCGUACAUUUAGCUUACAUAGACUAAGUUUCUUACUCUUCCUUUUCGCGGCUAGAUCCGUGUCUGUCGCCUGCGGGCGAGAGACGGGGCGCUUCCACGAGUGGCUGUGCGGUGCUGGCGCGGCCGGCCCAUGUCCGCGACGAUCCCUCCGGCGGCGCUGUCCUGCGCCUGGGGUGUGCUCUGGCCUGCCGGCCUGGCCUGUAAGUGCGCCUGUCGCUAUGUGCGUGUGAGUGUGUCCAUGUGUGCGUGCCCCCCUUAGUGUUGUGAGUGUGCGUGUGUGCGCGUGUUCCACGAUCGCCACAUUUCGACCGACGCCAGCCGGUCCGCAGUGCCGGAGCAUAGUGUGUCCCCCCCCCCCCCCUGGCGGGAAGCACCGCCGCGAGACCGCCCGGCCGUGGGUCUCCGGGCAGGCCGGGUAAUCUCGCACAGUCGCGGCGCCCCUUUCCGCAAUGGAUCUAACAACCUUCCAGUGUGCAGUUAAAUAGCGUAUAAUGUUACGAGACCCCCACAGCCACAGAGAACAGUACGAAACGAAACCACAAUUUGCACGCGCUCGCCGAACGCCCGCUCCAAAAAACGGCGAUCAACCGAGAUCACGAGUCGACGUUAGCUGCGCGUUCACGAGAGCGGACACUUUGGAGCGGGCCAGGGGGGGCGCCCUAACACCUACGAUAGAUAUAUAUAAAUUAAAAAAAAAACAAACGCCCCAACCCAGCGCGCGUUCUCUCAGCGACUCAGAAGCGAGCGAUCAAACGGUUAAACGGUUUCUUUUUUUCUUUUCGCUCACUUUUCUACGAUCCGGUCCGUGCCGCUGCUGCAUUCGGGCGCGGCCGCUGCGAGCUGGCUCGCGCGGCAGCAAACGGUAGUGUGUUUGCGCGUGCGUGUACGUGUGUGUCGGUGUGUUUAGGUGCGCGUACGCAACACGCGGACCGUUACGAUCCUGGUCACGGCACCAGUUAAAAACUAAAAGAAAACAGGUGUGACUUAACAAACGGGUGCACUACCACGGUCAAGCAUGGGGCACGGUUGAGCGCCGACGGGUAUUUGGUCGGUGGUCGAUGAUUACGCUGACCUUGUUACUUUAAACGUUACGAUGAUGGUCCUUUGCCAAGAAGGUUUAUCAUUUCUCCUGGACUGUUUCUCCCUUUUCCACGAGGAUUUUUCUCCUUUUCUCAUAAUUUCUUUUUUUUUUGCCAUAUUACAACACGUUACGUUACGUUACAAUGCGUUACGUAGCGUUACGUUACCAUGCGUUACUAUGCGUUACAUUGCGUUAUGUUGAUAAAAAUCGUUUCCCCCUUUUCUCUUUCCCCUCCUUCCCCCUCCCCUCCCUCUCGUCUCAACAGUGGCUAGAUGCGCACGUGCGUUCUUCUGAUCGACAGAAUUUCAACGGCUCGGCAAGAUGGCGGUACCAUUUCGCCCGGUGGGCUGCGUCUGCGAUCUACCAUCGCGCUAAUGACGUGUACGUGCGCUACGCGAGUGUGUGUAUGUGUGUGUGUGGGAAGCAAAGGAUCUCCCUCUGAAACAGCGAGGAGACGGAUCGAGCCCAGGUUCGGGACGGUACUGUUCGCCCGGGGAGCGGCAAGCGUUACCCAUGCUUGCUCUCGCUGGUUUGUUUUUUUUUGCAACGGUCCGCGCCCCCACCUAGUCCCGACCCGUUCCAGGAUCCGUAGUGCAAAUGAAAAUGCAAAAAAAAACAA